RNAcentral lists this transfer RNA (66 nucleotides) under Spinapalochrus rubrofasciatus. RNAcentral describes it as "tRNA-Leu". It matches the Rfam family "tRNA". Rfam says of the family: Transfer RNA (tRNA) molecules are approximately 80 nucleotides in length. Their secondary structure includes four short double-helical elements and three loops (D, anti-codon, and T loops). Further hydrogen bonds mediate the characteristic L-shaped molecular structure. tRNAs have two regions of fundamental functional importance: the anti-codon, which is responsible for specific mRNA codon recognition, and the 3' end, to which the tRNAs corresponding amino acid is attached (by aminoacyl-tRNA synthetases). tRNAs cope with the degeneracy of the genetic code in two manners: having more than one tRNA (with a specific anti-codon) for a particular amino acid; and 'wobble' base-pairing, i.e. permitting non-standard base-pairing at the 3rd anti-codon position. The record is from RNAcentral. Lineage: Eukaryota; Metazoa; Arthropoda; Insecta; Coleoptera; Melyridae.
UUCUAAAAUGGCAGAAUAGUGCAUUGAAUUUAAACUUCAAAUAUAAAGAAUCCUCUUUUUUUAGAA